AUGAGCCAUGCCAUGCAGGGCCACCCAAGACAGAUGGGUCAUAGUGAAGAGUUCUGACAAAACAUGGUCCAUUGCAGAAGGAAAUGGCAACUGAGUCCAGUAUUUGUGUCUGGAGAACCCCAUGGGCAGUAUGAAAAGGCAAAAAUAUAUGACAUCAGAAGAUGAGCUCCCCAGGGUGAGUGGUGCAAGAGAGUGACUACAAGCACCCUGCUACUACUACUGCUGCUGCUAAGUCGAUUCAGUUGUCUCCGACUCUGUGCAACCCCAUAGACGGCAGGCCACCAGGCUCUGCCGUCCCUGGGAUUCUCCAGGCAAGAACACUGGGGGUUCAGCUCAGAUUUGCUUCUGCUAUGAAGAUGCCCUGAUGGCCCUCAUACACCAGGUGAUCCCUUCCUCUGUGGCCUCCCACAUCAUAUUCAUUGACCCGAGAAUGCACUCCUUAGGUUGCAUAAGGUGUCUUUG
Molecule: long non-coding RNA, 462 nt
Organism: Bos taurus (domestic cattle)
Lineage: Eukaryota; Metazoa; Chordata; Mammalia; Artiodactyla; Bovidae
Source: Ensembl